This 253-nucleotide ribosomal RNA is filed under the name uncultured bacterium. RNAcentral's name for it is "partial 16S ribosomal RNA". It matches the Rfam family "Bacterial small subunit ribosomal RNA", at positions 524 to 776 of the family's 1533-position model. The record is from RNAcentral.
UACGUAGGGUGCGAGCGUUAAUCGGAAUUAUUGGGCGUAAAGCGCGCGUAGGCGGUCCUUUAAGUCUGAUGUGAAAGCCCACGGCUCAACCGUGGAGGGUCAUUGGAAACUGGGGGACUUGAGUGCAGAAGAGGAAAGUGGAAUUCCACGUGUAGCGGUGAAAUGCGUAGAGAUGUGGAGGAACACCAGUGGCGAAGGCGACUUUCUGGUCUGUAACUGACGCUGAGGCGCGAAAGCGUGGGGAGCAAACAGG